AUUGAACGCUGGCGGCAUGCCUAACACAUGCAAGUCGAACGCGAAAGAGGGGCAGCCCUUGAGUAGAGUGGCGGACGGGUGAGUAAUACGUAGGAAUCUUCCUUAGAGUGGGGGAUAACCCGAGGAAACUCGGGCUAAUACCGCAUAAUCUUUAAGAGGCAAAGGUGGCUAGCAAUAGCUAUCGCUUUAAGAUGAGCCUACGCCGGAUUAGCUAGUUGGUAGGGUAAUGGCCUACCAAGGCAACGAUCCGUAGCUGGUUUGAGAGAACGACCAGCCACACUGGGACUGAGAUACGGCCCAGACUCCUACGGGAGGCAGCAGUGGGGAAUAUUGGACAAUGGGGGAAACCCUGAUCCAGCGAUGCCGCGUGUGCGAUGAAGGCCUGCGGGUUGUAAAGCACUUUCGUUGGGGAAGAAAUACUCAAAGCUAAUACCUUUGAGAGUUGACGUUACCCAAAGAAGAAGCACCGGCUAACUCUGUGCCAGCCGCCGCAGUAA
Molecule: ribosomal RNA, 497 nt
Filed under: uncultured bacterium
Lineage: Bacteria
Description: partial 16S ribosomal RNA
Rfam family: Bacterial small subunit ribosomal RNA
Source: RNAcentral